UGGGGAAUAUUGCACAAUGGGCGCAAGCCUGAUGCAGCCAUGCCGCGUGUGUGAAGAAGGCCUUCGGGUUGUAAAGCACUUUCAGCGAGGAGGAAGGUGGUGAACUUAAUACGUUCAUCAAUUGACGUUACUCGCAGAAGAAGCACCGGCUAACUCCGUGCCAGCAGCCGCGGUAAUACGGAGGGUGCAAGCGUUAAUCGGAAUUACUGGGCGUAAAGCGCACGCAGGCGGUUUGUUAAGUCAGAUGUGAAAUCCCCGGGCUCAACCUGGGAACUGCAUUUGAAACUGGCAAGCUAGAGUCUCGUAGAGGGGGGUAGAAUUCCAGGUGUAGCGGUGAAAUGCGUAGAGAUCUGGAGGAAUACCGGUGGCGAAGGCGGCCCCCUGGACGAAGACUGACGCUCAGGUGCGAAAGCGUGGGGAGCAAACAGAUUAGAUACCCUGGUAGUCCACGCUGUAAACGAUGUCGAUUUUGGAGGUUGUGCCCUUGAGGCGUGGCUUCCGGAGCUAACGCGUUAAAUCGACCGCCUGGGGAGUACGGCCGCAAGGUUAAAACUUAAAGG
Molecule: ribosomal RNA, 560 nt
Filed under: uncultured bacterium
Lineage: Bacteria
Description: partial 16S ribosomal RNA
Rfam family: Bacterial small subunit ribosomal RNA
Source: RNAcentral